Molecule: ribosomal RNA, 229 nt
Filed under: uncultured bacterium
Lineage: Bacteria
Description: partial 16S ribosomal RNA
Rfam family: Bacterial small subunit ribosomal RNA
Source: RNAcentral
UGCGUAGGCGGCAUUAUAAGUCAGAGGUGAAAGCCCGGCGCUCAACGUCGGAACUGCCUUUGAUACUGUGAUGCUUGAAUCAGGUUGAGGUUAGCGGAAUGUGACAUGUAGCGGUGAAAUGCAUAGAUAUGUCAUAGAACACCAAUUGCGAAGGCAGCUAACUGGAUCUGUAUUGACGCUGAGGCACGAAAGCGUGGGGAGCGAACAGGAUUAGAUACCCUGGUAGUCC